This is a long non-coding RNA of Oreochromis aureus, 2193 nucleotides long. Lineage: Eukaryota; Metazoa; Chordata; Actinopteri; Cichliformes; Cichlidae. The record is from Ensembl.
ACAUGAGCGCAAAACCUCUCCGGUGUUUUCCCUCCUGUCCUCCUCACCUUUGUGGAAAUGGGAUGCCGGUUGUCUUUUAGAAACACGGUGCUUCGACGCUAAUUCAAUCAAUUCAUUGAUUGGGAAAAAACAGUCAAGUGUUCAUUUAUUCUUCUUUUUAAUGUUGCUGGUAAUGUGAUUCUUCAUGAUUCAUUGGAAUCUUAAAUGUGGCCAGAGUUUUAUCUCAAUCGACAGCAAAAGUUCAAACUGUUCUGAAAAUACAGGCACGUUUCUGUGACUUAUUUAGUGUCUGAAACGGGUACAAGUGGACCUGUGGUCAAAUUCACCAAAAAUAAUAAAGCUGUAGCUUCUGUUUUCCCACAUUCAUUGAUGAUUAUUCCACAUAAGCAGUCUGUUGUCCUGUUGUCGAUUGUGGAUAAUAAUGGAUUGGAUUUCAUAUAGCGCUUUUCAAGGCACCCAAAGCACUUUACAAUGCCACUAUUCAUUCACUCUCACAUUCACACACUGGUGGAGGCAAUAUCCCAACCUGCUCUUAUAAUAAUAGUUAUAAGAUUAUAUUUUGUUAUUUUCUAGUUUCUAGUUGAGUGAGGAGGAUGGAGAGAUUGUUCAGGAGCAGGGUGAACGAGGGAGCAAAUAGUUGGCUGGAAAAACAAAAGUUAUUUUUCACAAAGUAGUUUUCCGUGCCUUUCACGGACGCUCACUCUGCUUUCCAGUAGCACACUGAAAAAUGCCAGUGGGCAUUCUAAACAGAGCAUAUUAACAUGAAUGCAGCAUUUCACAGGAUUCAUUCUAAACAUGGCUGAACAGGACAGCUGCCGCUAUGUGAAGUGAAGGACUACAAAUCUAUUCUCCACUCGUGAAAUUGGGGUACAUGAUGCUCUGUGUUGAGUUUGCAUAAUAAAAAGCGCGUUUUCACCCUGCCACUCCAGGUCUAUGGAGUGGUUUUCCAGUGUCUGUAUGCACACACUGCCUCUGUGUGGUUAAGAGACUGAAAUAAUCUCCAUGUCUUUCAUCUUAUCUGAUUGCCAUAAAUAGUUCUUAAAACACUGAGCCUUUGCCUUGGGUUUGAUAACUAAAGGCUCCACAUUAAAACGGGUGGAUUAGAUUGAAAUUUCUACUUACUCUGAAUUAUUCUUAGACACUACCAUAGGUUAUCAAACUAAUUAGGCUGCUUUUGAAGGUAACGCUGUAAUGGAUAUUCGAUUGAACUGAGGUUUGCUGAUGUGAGAAGGGCUGAUAACAUUUGCAAACAGCAUAUUAUGAACAGCACAUUAUGAUUGGGAGCUGAGCCCCCCUAAGAGUUUGAACCUAGAAUGGCACCUGGUUAGAGAAAAGGAAGGCUUCCACCCCUCAUGGAGCGCGUGAGUCGGCUUGCAGACAGACAUGCACAGCUUCACGGGCACGGCUCGCGCGCCAGCUGUUUGAAUUAGAGUCGUAGAGCAUUAGCGUGUACCUGUAGAACACCCUGCGCCGUGUCGCUCGCUGUUAGCCUUUGUUUGAAAUGGAGCUGCUCAGAAACAAACUGAGCGGAAAUCACCAGCGUCCCCUCGGCAUCACUCAGUACUACAGUACCAGCGGGUGCACGAGGCGCGAGGACUCUGAGACAUUAAAGAAAACUCGGUUAAAGAAGAAGAGAGGCGCGAGGGUCCGCACAGGCACAGCAGCCUGCCUCCACCGUGACGACACUGCCCCUAUUUUCAGAUCCAUCCCACUUCCUUCCUCAAAUCUCCUCUCCCUCUUCCACCAUCACAGGAUUUCUGUAAUCCUAUUUGAAAUGGCGGAUGAGACAAACAUGGGAGGGAGGGAGAAGUGAAGCGCAGCAGAGGCUGCAGGGAAACCCAGAGUGGAGCUGCAGUGUAAAGUGGAGCUGGACUGACCUGACUGCUUUGAACACAGUUAACUUACUGAGAGUCAGCAACUUCAGCCGUGCCUGUUGAACCAACCAUCCCACAACUGUGAAGCAUAAGGAUGGAUUUUCCCUUUAAAUAAAAAAAGCAAAACCAUAAUAUGUAAUGAAAUCUAAAGCUUCUUUCUUUCACUGACAUUCACUGGUCUUUGAGGGUCGAGCACGAAGCUGAUGUUACAUGAGCCAUAUGGUUGAUUUCCAGUCCCAGUUAGCGUAAAGCUAGUUUAAGAUUUAGAGUUUCGUACAUUACCUUAAACACCUGAUGUAACAAUCUAUGAUGUAGCCCA